Molecule: ribosomal RNA, 254 nt
Filed under: uncultured bacterium
Lineage: Bacteria
Description: partial 16S ribosomal RNA
Rfam family: Bacterial small subunit ribosomal RNA
Source: RNAcentral
UACGUAGGGUGCGAGCGUUGUCCGGAAUUAUUGGGCGUAAAGAGCUCGUAGGCGGUCUGUCGCGUCGGUCGUGAAAACUUGGGGCUUAACCCUGAGCUUGCGGUCGAUACGGGCAUGACUGGAGUUCGGCAGGGGAGACUGGAAUUCCUGGUGUAGCGGUGAAAUGCGUAGAUAUCAGGAGGAACACCUGUGGUGUAGACGGCUUCCUGGACCACAACUGACGCUGAGACACGAAAGCGUGGGGAGCAAACAGG